Cajanus cajan (pigeon pea) is the source of this 358-nucleotide non-coding RNA. NCBI's taxonomy places the organism in Eukaryota, Viridiplantae, Streptophyta, Magnoliopsida, Fabales, Fabaceae. The record is from RefSeq and is a predicted model, not a curated record.
CGGCAACAACCUUGUAUCGAGUGUGUGAAACGAAGAAAAGAAGAAGAAAAGAGAAAGAGAAAAAUUGUGUGUACGAAGAGUCUCCGCUGAAAGUUUUGGUUUCUUGAAGAUGUCGUCACUCUCUGAUCUUAUCAACCUUAAUCUCUCCGACAUCACGGAGAAGGUGAUCGCCGAGUACAUAUGGGUUGGUGGAUCCGGCAUGGACAUGAGAAGCAAAGCAAGGACUCUCUCAGGACCAGUUAGAGACCCUUCAAAGCUUCCCAAGUGGAACUAUGAUGGUUCCAGCACUGGUCAAGCUCCUGGACAAGAUAGUGAAGUGAUCUUAUAGUAAGUUUUUAUGUUAUUAAUUAAUUAAUUU